This 188-nucleotide ribosomal RNA is filed under the name uncultured bacterium. Its description in RNAcentral is "partial 16S ribosomal RNA". It matches the Rfam family "Bacterial small subunit ribosomal RNA", at positions 585 to 772 of the family's 1533-position model. The record is from RNAcentral.
AAGUGUGAAGUGCAAGCCCGGGGCUCAAUCCCGGGACUGCUUUGGAAACUGUUACGCUGGAGUGCUGGAGAGGUAAGCGGAAUUCCUAGUGUAGCGGUGAAAUGCGUAGAUAUUAGGAGGAACACCAGUGGCGAAGGCGGCUUACUGGACAGUAACUGACGUUGAGGCUCGAAAGCGUGGGGAGCAAA